UUACAGCCCUGAUAAAAAUGAUGCAAAUUAUUGGUUGAAAUAAAAGGAUUAAUAAAUGGAAUAGUUUUGACUGUGUUGAAUGUUUGGUCUCCAAGGUAAAGGUCAGACAAGGUCAACAUCUGUUGGAUUCUAUAACAUGUGACACGUUACCCUGUAACAUAAUAACUAAGUAUGACAGAUGGUGCAAA
Long non-coding RNA from Thalassophryne amazonica, 188 nucleotides. RefSeq lists it as uncharacterized. The transcript is spliced from 2 exons. The record is from RefSeq and is a predicted model, not a curated record. NCBI's taxonomy places the organism in Eukaryota, Metazoa, Chordata, Actinopteri, Batrachoidiformes, Batrachoididae.